This is a long non-coding RNA of Rhopalosiphum maidis (corn leaf aphid), 321 nucleotides long. RefSeq lists it as uncharacterized. The transcript has 3 exons. NCBI's taxonomy places the organism in Eukaryota, Metazoa, Arthropoda, Insecta, Hemiptera, Aphididae. The record is from RefSeq and is a predicted model, not a curated record.
ACUCGCAGACCGGGACUGUAUCGCGUUGCUUGUGCAUUUUUCCAGUUACGAAAUAUUUCGUCAUAAAAUAAUAAUUAUAAAAAUCAUAACCUGUAUUGAAAAUGUAUAGUCCACAACAUAAUGUAUCACCAAUAAAAUGAUAAAGAACAUCUAUAGGUAAUCUAUACUUACGAAACAGAAUUGGACUAUACGAUUUCGUCAUGAUUUCAAAUUCGAUCAAAUUACUAGUAUUACAUUUUGGUCUUAUCCUGGCAUUCGGAAAUUGGGGCGUACAGGCCAGUUGGGACGAGUGGUGGACGUACGAUGGAAUAUCAGGUAUCG